Molecule: transfer RNA, 90 nt
Filed under: Dermacoccus nishinomiyaensis
Lineage: Bacteria; Bacillati; Actinomycetota; Actinomycetes; Micrococcales; Dermacoccaceae
Description: tRNA-Asn(gtt)
Source: RNAcentral
CGAGUUCUUCGGAGGCACGCCGAACAUCGUCGUUGACGAUGACGUGGUCGAACUCGCUCUGCGCCGCGAGUUCGACCUUCGCGGUCUCGA